GACGAACGCUGGCGGCGUGCUUAACACAUGCAAGUCGAACGGAAAGGCCCUGCUUUUGCGGGGUGCUCGAGUGGCGAACGGGUGAGUAACACGUGAGUAACCUGCCCUUGACUUUGGGAUAACUCCAGGAAAAUGGGGCUCAUACCGGAUAGGAGCUCCUGCUGCACAGGGGGGGAUGGAAAGAUUCGGCGGUUGUGGAUGGACUCGCGGGUUAUCAGCUUGUUGGGGGGGUAGGGGCUGACAAAGGCUAUGACGGGUAGCCGGCCUGGGAGGUGGGCCGGCCACCUUGGGCCUGCGGUAGGGCCCAGUCUCCUACGGGCGGCAGCAGGGGGGAAUAUGGCACAACGGGCGGACGCCUGAGGCAGCAACGCCGCGUGCGUGAUGCCGUCCUUCUGGUUGUAAACCGCUGUCGCCUGAGCUGAAGCGGGAGUGACGGUACUGGGUAAAGAAGCACCGGCUAACUACGUG
RNAcentral lists this ribosomal RNA (468 nucleotides) under uncultured bacterium. Its description in RNAcentral is "partial 16S ribosomal RNA". It matches the Rfam family "Bacterial small subunit ribosomal RNA", at positions 28 to 507 of the family's 1533-position model. The record is from RNAcentral.